RNAcentral lists this ribosomal RNA (468 nucleotides) under uncultured bacterium. RNAcentral describes it as "partial 16S ribosomal RNA". It matches the Rfam family "Bacterial small subunit ribosomal RNA", at positions 28 to 507 of the family's 1533-position model. The record is from RNAcentral.
GGCGAACGCUGGCGGCGUGCUUAACACAUGCAAGUCGAACGGAAAGGCCCUGCUUUUGUGGGGUGCUCGAGUGGCGAACGGGCGAGUAACACGUGAGUAACCUGCCCUUGACUUUGGGAUAACUUCAGGAAACUGGGGCUAAUACCGGAUAGGAGCUCCUGCUGCAUGGUGGGGGUUGGAAAGUUUCGGCGGUUGGGGAUGGACUCGCGGCUUAUCAGCUUGUUGGUGGGGUAGUGGCUUACCAAGGCUUUGACGGGUAGCCGGCCUGAGAGGGUGACCGGCCACAUUGGGACUGAGAUACGGCCCAGACUCCUACGGGAGGCAGCAGUGGGGAAUAUUGCACAAUGGGCGGAAGCCUGAUGCAGCAACGCCGCGUGCGGGAUGACGGCCUUCGGGUUGUAAACCGCUUUCGCCUGUGACGAAGCGUGAGUGACGGUAAUGGGUAAAGAAGCACCGGCUAACUACGUG